GACGAACGCUGGCGGCGUGCUUAACACAUGCAAGUCGAACGGAAAGGCCCUGCUUUUGUGGGGUGCUCGAGUGGCGAACGGGUGAGUAACACGUGAGUAACCUGCCCUUGUCUUUGGGAUAACUUCAGGAAACUGGGGCUAAUACCGGAUAGGAGCUCCUGCUGCAUGGUGGGGGUUGGAAAGUUUCGGCGGUUGGGGAUGGACUCGCGGCUUAUCGGCUUGUUGGUGGGGUAGUGGCUUACCAAGGCUUUGACGGGUAGCCGGCCUGAGAGGGUGACCGGACACAUUGGGACUGAGAUACGGCCCAGACUCCUACGGGAGGCAGCAGUGGGGAAUAGUGCACAAGGGGCGGAAGCCUGAUGCAGCAACGCCGCGUGCGGGAUGACGGCCUUCGGGUUGUAAACCGCUUUCGCCUGUGACGAAGCGUGAGUGACGGUAAUGGGUAAAGAAGCACCGGCUAACUACGUG
RNAcentral lists this ribosomal RNA (468 nucleotides) under uncultured bacterium. RNAcentral's name for it is "partial 16S ribosomal RNA". It matches the Rfam family "Bacterial small subunit ribosomal RNA", at positions 28 to 507 of the family's 1533-position model. The record is from RNAcentral.